RNAcentral lists this ribosomal RNA (399 nucleotides) under uncultured bacterium. RNAcentral's name for it is "bacterial SSU rRNA". It matches the Rfam family "Bacterial small subunit ribosomal RNA", at positions 64 to 507 of the family's 1533-position model. The record is from RNAcentral.
GAACGCCCGUAGCAAUACGGGAGUGGCAGACGGGAGAGUAACACGUGGGAACGUACCCUUUGGUUUGGAACAACCCAGGGAAACUUGGGCUAAUACCGGAUAAGCCCUUACGGGGAAAGAUUUAUCGCCGAAGGAUCGGCCCGCGUCUGAUUAGCUAGUUGGUGGGGUAAUGGCCCACCAAGGCGACGAUCAGUAGCUGGUCUGAGAGGAUGAUCAGCCACACUGGGACUGAGACACGGCCCAGACUCCUACGGGAGGCAGCAGUGGGGAAUAUUGGACAAUGGGCGAAAGCCUGAUCCAGCCAUGCCGCGUGAGUGAAGAAGGCCUUCGGGUUGUAAAGCUCUUUCGACGGGGACGAUGAUGACGGUACCCGUAUAAGAAGCCCCGGCAAACUUCGUG